Molecule: ribosomal RNA, 467 nt
Filed under: uncultured bacterium
Lineage: Bacteria
Description: partial 16S ribosomal RNA
Rfam family: Bacterial small subunit ribosomal RNA
Source: RNAcentral
GAUGAACGCUGGCGGCGCGCCUAACACAUGCAAGUCGAACGAUUAAAGCACCUUCGGGUGUGUAUAAAGUGGCGAACGGCUGAGUAACACGUGGGCAACCUGCCCCUUUCAUUGGGAUAGCCACGGGAAACCGUGGAUAAUACCGAAUACUUCGAGACUUCCGCAUGGAAGACUCGAGAAAGCUCCGGCGGAGAGGGAUGGGCCCGCGGCCUGUUAGCUUGUUGGUGGGGUAACGGCCUACCAAGGCAAUGAUGGGUAGCUGGGUUGAGAGACCGACCAGCCAGAUUGGGACUGAGACACGGCCCAGACUCCUACGGGAGGCAGCAGUGGGGAAUCUUGCACAAUGGGCGAAAGCCUGAUGCAGCGACGCCGCGUGCGGGAUGAAGGCUUUCGGGUUGUAAACCGCUUUCAGCAGGGACGAGGCGAAAGUGACGGUACCUGCAGAAGAAGCCCCGGCUAACUACGUG